RNAcentral lists this long non-coding RNA (429 nucleotides) under Helianthus annuus (common sunflower). The record is from RNAcentral. Lineage: Eukaryota; Viridiplantae; Streptophyta; Magnoliopsida; Asterales; Asteraceae.
AUGAAAAAAAAGCAUGUACAAUCUGCAACCUUAUCAUUCUCUUUAAACUCUUUCUCUCUCGAAAUUUAAACAACCAGUUCACUUUCGCCACUGCCUAUGACAUGACCACCACCAUCAUCGAUUCCGGCGAGAGAGAGAGAGAAGUGAUCGUUCUUGGUCUGUGAAGACAGAUCUGAUCGUUCUUGGCCGGAACUAAACAGUGAACCUCUGUUCUACAGAUCUGAUGUGGCCAUUUCGUGAUAUGACCACCACCAUCAUCGAUUCCGGCGCGCGUGAGAGAGAGAAGGGGGAAGUGGACUGUUACCGGUGGGUGGGAGCUGUUACCGGAGAAGGGGGAUUUAGGGCUUUUAAUUAGCCCUUAGGAUCAGUCGGUACAAAUUUUGAGGCAGUGAAAUGUUGGCGGUGGGGGAGUGGCAGGGGUUGGUGGCU